UACGUAGGGUGCAAGCGUUGUCCGGAAUUAUUGGGCGUAAAGAGCUCGUAGGCGGUUCGUCGCGUCGGCUGUGAAAUCCCGAGGCUCAACCUCGGGUCUGCAGUCGAUACGGGCGGACUGGAGUACUGCAGGGGAGACUGGAAUUCCUGGUGUAGCGGUGAAAUGCGCAGAUAUCAGGAGGAACCCCGGUGGCGAAGGCGGGUCUCUGGGCAGUUACUGACGCUGAGGAGCGAAAGCGUGGGGAGCGAACAGG
RNAcentral lists this ribosomal RNA (253 nucleotides) under uncultured bacterium. RNAcentral describes it as "partial 16S ribosomal RNA". It matches the Rfam family "Bacterial small subunit ribosomal RNA", at positions 524 to 776 of the family's 1533-position model. The record is from RNAcentral.